GUGGAAGGCCGGAGUGCGGGCCGUGAGGGGUGUGCGCGCUUGAGCCGGAGCGGGGCUCGCCCCUCGUCGGCUCCCGCCGCCCAGCCGGUGAUCGCUCUCCGGCCGUCCCCGGCACCCUCGGCCCCCCACGGCGGUUGGUCCGGGCGGGGGAAGGAGAAAGUGAGACUCGGUGUCAUCACCAAUCCGUCGCCAGAAGGGGAGGAAACUGGAAUCCAGCAGCGGCGAGCAGCAGCUGGGCGGAUUUAUUUAAUGGGGAUGUGUUCAAGGCAAGACCGAAUUCAGAAGGAUAUCGACGUCGUGAUCCAGAAGUCCAGAGCUGAGGACUGCCUGUUUGCAGAUUCAGAUACUCAGACUCCACCUUUACUUUUACCUAUGUUGGCGGCCCCAGAAGGUAUUUAUGGGUGUAGAGUUGCUUCAUUUCCUGUUCACACUCUUGUGUUUCCUUUGUUCUUAGCGUGUUCCGUGUUCGGGUAUUUUGGUUGCUUGUUUGAUUACUGUGGCUUUUCUUUACCUACAACCCAAGCCUGACGU
Homo sapiens (human) is the source of this 531-nucleotide long non-coding RNA. Ensembl annotates it as long intergenic non-protein coding RNA 1138. The record is from Ensembl. Lineage: Eukaryota; Metazoa; Chordata; Mammalia; Primates; Hominidae.